Molecule: ribosomal RNA, 590 nt
Filed under: Salmonella enterica subsp. diarizonae
Lineage: Bacteria; Pseudomonadati; Pseudomonadota; Gammaproteobacteria; Enterobacterales; Enterobacteriaceae
Description: partial 23S ribosomal RNA
Rfam family: Bacterial large subunit ribosomal RNA
Source: RNAcentral
GGGUUGUGAGGUUAAGCGACCAAGCGUACACGGUGGAUGCCCUGGCAGUCAGAGGCGAUGAAGGACGUGCUAAUCUGCGAAAAGCGCCGGUAAGGUGAUAUGAACCGUUAUAACCGGCGAUGUCCGAAUGGGGAAACCCAGUGUGACUCGUCACACUAUCAUUAACUGAAUCCAUAGGUUAAUGAGGCGAACCGGGGGAACUGAAACAUCUAAGUACCCCGAGGAAAAGAAAUCAACCGAGAUUCCCCCAGUAGCGGCGAGCGAACGGGGAGGAGCCCAGAGCCUGAAUCAGCAUGUGUGUUAGUGGAAGCGUCUGGAAAGGCGCGCGAUACAGGGUGAGAGCCCCGUACACAAAAGCGCACAUGCUGUGAGCUCGAUGAGUAGGGCGGGACACGUGGUAUCCUGUCUGAAUAUGGGGGGACCAUCCUCCAAGGCUAAAUACUCCUGACUGACCGAUAGUGAACCAGUACCGUGAGGGAAAGGCGAAAAGAACCCCGGCGAGGGGAGUGAAACAGAACCUGAAACCGUGUACGUACAAGCAGUGGGAGCCCCACCACUAAGCCAGUGGUGAACUCCACAUACGCAUCCUU